Gasterosteus aculeatus aculeatus (three-spined stickleback) is the source of this 889-nucleotide long non-coding RNA. The record is from Ensembl. NCBI's taxonomy places the organism in Eukaryota, Metazoa, Chordata, Actinopteri, Perciformes, Gasterosteidae.
CUUAUACCGCAGAAUGAAAGCAUAUUCUUUAAAUCUGACCCUUGCUCCGGUUCGUAGCGCCUGUAGUUCGUCUCGGAGUUAGGAGACGGGCGCACAAUCCCACGAUAGCGGAAGCGGUGCGCCGUCUUCACAACUCCGAGACGAACUACAGGCGCUACGAACCGGAGCAAGGACUAAUCUCGCCUCAUAAUGAGGCGGUGACCUCGUAUUUGCUCCGGGAAAAGUCCAGAUUUAGACGACGUCAUUGUGUAUAAGUGACACUGUUUACUGUUUCUCCUUCCUUGUUCAAUGUUACUGUGACUUGCGUUUGAUUUUUUUUGUAUUCAUACCACUCAUUUAAUUGUUUUCCAGCCGCCUGUGAGACGUAUUGUGAGACGGGACGGAGGAGCUUCAGGUUCAGGCGGAACACUCACCGCGGGCUGAAGCUGCGAAGGAUUCAGCGCGGAGUCGAGCGAGAAGAAAGACGGUCAGAGUUUAUUUGCUGACUUGUUUCAGGUGCAUUGAUCGAUGUGUUGUGUCCGUACGCAUCGCACAGUACGGAUUCAUUGUUGUUUUUACAGCUGCUGGAAUCGAGACAAAGUGCGCUGGCUGAUGACGAGGUGGAACUCUGGAAAUCCGCCACCGUGGAGCUCACGUCGGACGGAGAGGACGGUGUUGUUGGCGGGGUCUCGGGGUGGAUUGUACGGUCGCCACACACACACGAGCCGCCUGCACAACAGACCUGCCUCGGAAAACACGGCGCCAGUGACGGUCAACAACCCCGAGGAGGCAAACGGACAGUUUACUGAGCUGUAGUUUUUAAACCGCCGUUACCCAAGUGCGGGCAGAUCCUCACUUUGUAUGUAGUUGUUGUUUGUGUGUUGUUAAUAAAGCUUUUUCUUUGCAUAAA